AUGUUGCAGGCGCUCAUCGUGACCAGCGCCUACCUCGUGGAGGUCCGGCGCAUGCGCGUGAUCCGGGAGCACCCCGUCCGCGGCCCCCACGAGACGGUGCCGAUGAGCGUCUUUUGGAUGCUGCCGCAGUACGUGAUCCUUGGCGUCGGCGACGUGUUCAACACCAUCGGAGUCCUCGAGUUCUUCUACGACCAGUCGCCGGAGGGGAUGCAGAGGCUGGGGACCACCUUCUACACCAGCGGGCUUGGCGUCGGGAACUUCCUCAGCAGCCUGCUCGUGACGCUCGUCGACCGGACCACCAGGGCGACCGUCGGCAAGAGCUGGAUCGGCGACAACCCGAACGACUCACACCUCGACUACUACUACGUGUUCCUGCUGGUGCUCUCCGUGGCCAACAUGGCGCUCUUCGUGUGGGUGGCGAUGAGGUACAAGUACAACGGCGCAAUGGGGACGCCUGAGGCCGAGGCUGAGAUGGUGGCCGGCGGCAAGGUAACGGCGGACUCGCCGCUGGUGGUGGAGCGUGAUAAGGUGGAGGGCGUGCAUCUUGCGUAA
RNAcentral lists this ribosomal RNA (552 nucleotides) under Triticum aestivum (bread wheat). RNAcentral's name for it is "partial small subunit ribosomal RNA". The record is from RNAcentral. Lineage: Eukaryota; Viridiplantae; Streptophyta; Magnoliopsida; Poales; Poaceae.